UCCGCAAUGGACGAAAGUCUGACGGAGCGACGCCGCGUGCGGGAUGAAGGCCCUUGGGUUGUAAACCGCUUUCGGAGGGGAUGAAAUCCUCGAGGGUACUCCCUCGAGGUUGACAGAGCCUCAAAAGAAGCACGGGCUAAGUACGUGCCAGCAGCCGCGGUAACACGUACUGUGCGAACGUUAUUCGGAAUCACUGGGCUUAAAGGGUGCGUAGGCGGGUGGACAAGUCGAGGGUGAAAGCCUCUAGCUUAACUAGAGAAGUGCCCUCGAUACUGUUUGUCUCGAGAGAGAUAGGGGCACACGGAACUUCCGGUGGAGCGGUGAAAUGCGUAGAUAUCGGAAGGAACGCCGGUGGCGAAAGCGGUGUGCUGGAUCUUUUCUGACGCUGAGGCACGAAAGCUAGGGUAGCGAACGGGAUUAGAUACCCCGGUAGUCCUAGCCCUAAACGAUGAGUACUAGAUUGUGGACUGACAUGGGUUCACAGUCGAAGCAAAGUAUUAAGUACUCCGCCUGGGGAGUAUGGUCGCAAGGCUGAAACUCAAAGGA
Molecule: ribosomal RNA, 546 nt
Filed under: uncultured bacterium
Lineage: Bacteria
Description: bacterial SSU rRNA
Rfam family: Bacterial small subunit ribosomal RNA
Source: RNAcentral